This 271-nucleotide unclassified non-coding RNA is filed under the name Hevea brasiliensis (rubber tree). Lineage: Eukaryota; Viridiplantae; Streptophyta; Magnoliopsida; Malpighiales; Euphorbiaceae. The record is from RNAcentral.
UGCGGUCGCGCUUUCGCGAAGCCGCGCGAUUGAAUCUUCUUUCGAGUGGGUUCUAAACCCCACUCCUUUUUAAAAACGCGAUCUGCCUUUCGCAUACGCGGAUUGUCUUCUUGAUGCGUCUUGUUGUACGAGCAAGGGCGCUUGCACCAGACGCCGCAGUUCUCAAGCGUCGGCUCGCCACCAAGGCCGUCAGCAUCGAGGUGCUCGUAUUCGAUGUUUCCAGACACCAGGUCAUUGCCGCAGUUUUCACAUUGAGGAACGCCCGGCUUUG